RNAcentral lists this ribosomal RNA (301 nucleotides) under uncultured bacterium. Its description in RNAcentral is "partial 16S ribosomal RNA". It matches the Rfam family "Bacterial small subunit ribosomal RNA", at positions 509 to 807 of the family's 1533-position model. The record is from RNAcentral.
CAGUAGCCGCGGGAAUACGUAGGUGGCAAGCGUUGUCCGGAAUUAUUGGGCGUAAAGGGCUCGCAGGCGGUUUCUUAAGUCUGAUGUGAAAGCCCCCGGCUCAACCGGGGAGGGUCAUUGGAAACUGGGUAACUUGAGUGCAGAAGAGGAGAUUGGAAUUCCACGUGUAGCGGUGAAAUGCGUAGAGAUGUGGAGGAACACCAGUGGCGAAGGCGACUCUCUGGGCUGUAACUGACGCCGAGGAGCGAAAGCGUGGGGAGCGAACAGGAUUAGAUACCCGCGUAGUCCCUGUCUCUUAUAC